AUUGAACGCUGGCGGCAUGCCUUACACAUGCAAGUCGAACGGCAGCACGGGUGCUUGCACCUGGUGGCGAGUGGCGAACGGGUGAGUAAUACAUCGGAACAUGUCCUGUAGUGGGGGAUAGCCCGGCGAAAGCCGGAUUAAUACCGCAUACGAUCUACGUAUGAAAGCGGGGGCCCUUCGGGCCUCGCGCUAUAGGGUUGGCCGAUGGCUGAUUAGCUAGUUGGUGGGGUAAAGGCCUACCAAGGCGACGAUCAGUAGCUGGUCUGAGAGGACGACCAGCCACACUGGGACUGAGACACGGCCCAGACUCCUACGGGAGGCAGCAGUAGGGAAUUUUGGACAAUGGGCGAAAGCCUGAUCCAGCAAUGCCGCGUGUGUGAAGAAGGCCUUCGGGUUGUAAAGCACUUUUGUCCGGAAAGAAAUCCUUGGCCCUAAUACGGUCGGGGGAUGACGGUACCGGAAGAAUAAGCACCGGCUAACUACGUG
Molecule: ribosomal RNA, 486 nt
Filed under: uncultured bacterium
Lineage: Bacteria
Description: partial 16S ribosomal RNA
Rfam family: Bacterial small subunit ribosomal RNA
Source: RNAcentral